Molecule: ribosomal RNA, 450 nt
Filed under: uncultured bacterium
Lineage: Bacteria
Description: partial 16S ribosomal RNA
Rfam family: Bacterial small subunit ribosomal RNA
Source: RNAcentral
GUGGGGAAUCUUCCGCAAUGGACGAAAGUCUGACGGAGCGACGCCGCGUGAGUGAUGAAGGCCUUCGGGUCGUAAAGCUCUGUCAUCGGGGACGAAUGGUCGUUGGAGUGGAAAGCCAGCGAAAUGACGGUACCCGAGAAGGAAGCCACGGCUAACUACGUGCCAGCAGCCGCGGUAAUACGUAGGGGGCAAGCGUUGUCCGGAAUUAUUGGGCGUAAAGCGCGCGCAGGUGGGAUCUUAAGUCCAUGUUGAAAGUUCGGAGCUCAACUCCGUGAUGGGAUGGAAACUGGGAUUCUUGAGUACCGGAGAGGAAAGCGGAAUUCCCCGUGUAGCGGUGAAAUGCGUAGAUAUGGGGAGGAACACCAGUGGCGAAGGCGGCUUUCUGGACGGUGUCUGACACUGAGGCGCGAAAGCCAGGGGAGCGAACGGGAUUAGAUACCCGAGUAGUCC